CUGGCUCAGGAUGAACGCUAGCUACAGGCUUAACACAUGCAAGUCGAGGGGCAUCAUGGAGUUGCUUGCAAACUCUGAUGGCGACCGGCGCACGGGUGAGUAACGCGUAUCCAACCUUCCCUAUAGUAGAGGAUAGCCCGGCGAAAGUCGGAUUAAUACUCUAUGUUUUCCGUUGCAGACAUCUAAGAUGGAACAAAGGCUUGCCGCUAUAGGAUGGGGAUGCGUCUGAUUAGGUAGUCGGCGGGGUAACGGCCCACCGAGCCAUCGAUCAGUAGGGGUUCUGAGAGGAAGGUCCCCCACAUUGGAACUGAGACACGGUCCAAACUCCUACGGGAGGCAGCAGUGAGGAAUAUUGGUCAAUGGGCGAGAGCCUGAACCAGCCAAGUAAGCGUGCAGGACGACGGCCCUAUGGGUUGUAAACUGCUUUUAUGCGGGGAUAAAGUUCACUACGUGUAGUGUUUUGUAGGUACCGCAUGAAUAAGGACCGGCUAAUUCCGUGCCAGCCGCCGC
RNAcentral lists this ribosomal RNA (510 nucleotides) under uncultured bacterium. RNAcentral describes it as "bacterial SSU rRNA". It matches the Rfam family "Bacterial small subunit ribosomal RNA", at positions 19 to 518 of the family's 1533-position model. The record is from RNAcentral.